RNAcentral lists this long non-coding RNA (3760 nucleotides) under Homo sapiens (human). Its description in RNAcentral is "HSALNT0295838". The record is from RNAcentral. Lineage: Eukaryota; Metazoa; Chordata; Mammalia; Primates; Hominidae.
AGGGGACAGGGGAGAGCGGAUACUGCCUUCCUGCUGUGGGCUGAUGCGCGCCCUGCGUAUUCCUGGAAGGUGCACACGAUGGCAGCUACCGCCUGCUCCAGAGGCCUGGCCAUCCUCACUGUCACAGAACAAGGGUGUGGCUCACAGCAGAGUUCCAGGCCAGCCCCCCAGCUCACCUCUGCCCUCUGUGUUUCUCAGAGACUGUUCCCAGACCCAUCUUAACCUCCAUCAGGCUUCAGGCCCCGCAGUCUCCCCCUCCUCUGAGUAGCCCUCCCAGACCACACCAGCCCCUCCUAAUUUAUCCCCCUGCUGUCCUGUUGUUAUUUCCCCAUGUAGAGGUCUCAUUGCCCCAACAUCGCUGUAAACUCCUCAGAGAGACAGCAUCCUACCCCACCACCCACACACCCCACCGUGGGGCUCCUUAAGCACUCUCAGAUUAUCUGCCACCUCUUCUUAUCCCCAACACCCAGGGAUGGCUCGGUCCCAGUCUGCCCCAGCCCAUGAGAUGCCCUAGAAGCCUCCCUCCCUGCAGGAACUUGCACAAGGAGAGCCUGGCCCUGUGCUUCUCUGCCCUCAGCCCUUGGAGAAGCUAGGCCUUAGCAGGGAGGGGCAGGUCUGAGAGGCGCCCCCACAGCCUCACCACCACUGCCCUCACCCUGCCUCCUGCCCUGAACUCGAGGAAGCUGCACCCAGAAGAAAAACUUGUGGGAUCCUCUCUGCCUGUCGCCAGCUGUGCAACCUUGGUGAGCCAUUUGUCUCUCUGGGUCUCAGGGGCGGGGCCUGAUCUGUAAGUUGGGGUUCAUCUCACCUCGCUGGCCCAGUCAGGAACCUGAACCAGAUGGUCUCUUGAGAGUUGACCAGUUCGGGUGUUUACCAAUCUGAGACUGGCCUCCCCUGAGGUUACCCUCCCGACCCCUGGGGGUUUUGAGCAGGGAGGUUCUGUAUAGGGAUACUCUGUUCUAUUGGAGGGGAAGCCCUUCCUGGAAUUGCUCACCUCCCCCCACUUCCACUGUCCCCUUCCACCGCCCUUCUGGGAUGAUGCCUCCAGCCUGGGAAAACCCGAAGGCAGCCAGGAAGGCAAGAGUUUUUUCCAUGCUAGCCCAGUGACUCACUCCUGAUUCCCCCACGGGACAAGAGUCCUGCAGCACAGGGCGGCCAGGGCCAAGACUCUCCCUGAAGAUUUGCCCACUGCUGGGCCCCCUGCUGGGAGCAAAUGGCUGGCAUGGUUGUGGCUGGCAGGAAAGUAGGGGAAGGGGAGUGGGGAGUGCCAAGCACUGCCAGGAUUUAAUUCAUUGUAAACACCCCAGGAUUAGAGCAAGGUGUCCAGGUUCCCAGGAGAGGAAAGGGCCAUGAUCCUCAGAAAUGAGGAGACUCAGAGGUGAAGCAAGGAGGCAAGGAGCAGGUGAGGGGCCUGAUCAAGGGGAAGACCAGAGCCUUGAGCCCAGUGCUCCCACCCCAAGGCAGACCUUAGCUCUACACACCUCCCUGCCCAAACUUCCCCAACAGCCCCUCACUGUGUAAGGAAACCUCUGCGUCCACUAUAUCUGACUUCCCUCCCCGUGUCAGGCCCGCCUGUGGUCAUCUCUCUGCUUCCAAUGCCAGACCCUGGGUCAGGAGUCAGGCUGGCUACUGGGGGUCCCCAAACUGCCCUGACACUCAACCCAGGGCAGGACCCAAGCAGCUGGCACUCACCACUGGUGCUGGCGUUUCAGCUGUAGGAGCUUAGAGACAGGGCGUCACUAUUUGUAGCCUCCCAAGAAAGGAAGGAAGCAAUUAUGGGGGACACAAGUAGGUCAACACUGAGGAUGCCCUCAGGGAUCCCUCAGCAGACCCAUUACAGGCCCCACCUGCCCACCUAUCCACGCACACAUCAAAGGCCAGUCUGGGCUCAGACACCACUCCCCUUUCAUUCCCCAUCUGCCCUCCCCCAGAGUUGGGAACAGGGGACAGUCUCCUGCCAAGUCCUUCCAGCUCAGUUGGAGGAGACAGUCUGGCUUAUCCAUCACAUCACAGCCCCAUCUCUUCACUCUGCAGAGGCCCCCAGAAUACCAAGUGGGGACACACUUCUGCCUCGCUCAGGUUGCACCCCUACAAAUCUCUAUUCCGGGUAGAACUUGGAGAGCACGUGGCUAAGCCUCCCCUUUACAGACGAGAAGUCUGAACUUGCCUGACCAGAUCCCAGCUUUUGGCUGUGAACUGCUUGCUUCCCAGGGGGGAAAUCAUCAGGUGGGAUGUCUUUGAGGCACAGGAAGGAGGUGUGUUCCUCCCAGGGGCACUUCCAGAGUCUAAGCUUGAGAUUUCUGGCCCUUCCACCCCAGGUGAUGGGAAUGAAUUUGGGCUAGAGUCACAUGAAGGCUGGCCAGUGGCUGGAGCUCCUUAAGGGCUGUUUUCCUUCUUCCCCUGCUCUGCUCAGCACCAAAACAACUUUCCUUGAAGUCUUGUGGGUGGCAGGAUGGGAUUUCCUCUGGCUUUUAGCUUGAGUGUGUAGCCUUUUGGGGUCUCAGCAUCAUGGGAGGGUCAUCCAUUUGUGUCCCCUCUUGGGGUGAGAACUGGGCUUCCACUUCUGUCUUCCUCACUCCCCAAACCAUCAGGAUCAAAGCUCAGGUUCGGCUUGGCUUGGCCAAUGACCUCAGGGCACGGGGGGCCCCAGUACAGAUUCUGCUUUGACUUAGAUUUUGGCCUACUCAUUUCUUACUGCCUUGUGGUCUCUUCAAUGCUUUGAAAAGAUUUAAUUCUAUGCAGCAUUUGUUGUUGUUUUUAAGCUGAAGUGGGCACAGACCACCAUAUUACCAGAAACAGACAUACUUUCAUGUAACUUCUCUAUUCUCUCCCUCACACCAGAGCCUGAGAAACUCCUCCCUGUUUUAUAGGAAGAGAACCCAAAACCUAGAAGAGCGUGAGAGGGAAAAGAGGAAGGAGAUUGACUCCCAGGCCGGCAAAGAAGCCUUCCUGCCCGUGCAGGCAGCCAGAGCGCCAGUGACACCUUCGACCUCGCCCUCGGCCCCCAGCACCCAAGCCUUGCCUGUGCCGUCCUCUCCUUGGAGACUCAGCCCUGUUGAGGAGGGGAGUGAGCAAUAGAGGAGGGAAGGAAAAGAGGAGCUGUGAUUAGCCCUGUUUUAUAAUGGGCUACAUAGCCCUGUUUUAUAUGGGCUUUUUAAUGGAAGUAUGGGGAGCAGGGGGCAGAGAACAAGAGACAGUCACGCAGCAGAAGGGGGGGCCAGAGUGCACCAGCAAUUAAUUCAGCUCUAGGUCGAGCUUAAUUAUUCCCACCUAUGAUAUCCCAGCUCUGCCCCCAGCCACCUCCCUUAAGCAGCCUACCUCUGCUCUCGGGGCUUCAUUUUACUCACCUGUCAGUGAUGGAGGGUGAUAAUAGUAACUACCUCAUAGGUUUGUGCGGGGUUUAAAUAAGCUAAUACAUAUAAAGUUCAUAGAGUAAAUAGUGCCCAGCACAUGGCAAGGGCUUGAUAAAUGUUAAUCAAGAGAUGGGUGAGGCCGGGCGCAGUGGCUCACGCCUAUAAUACCAGCAAUUUGGGAGGCCAAGGCGAGCAGAUCACCUGAGGUCAGGAGUUCGAGACCAGCCUGGCAACAUGGUGAAACCCCAUCUCUACUAAAAAUACAAAAAUUAGCUGGGCAUAUUGGCACGUACCUGUAAUCCCAGCUACUCGGGAGGCUGAGGCAGGAGAAUCGCUUGAACCCAGGAGACGAAGGUUGCAGUGAGCUGAGAUCGUGCCACUGCACUCCAGCCUGGGCAACAGAGCAA